CCGCGCACCCCCGCGCGCUGCGGGCGGGAAACUUGCGAGGCUCCGCUCCCAGCCUCUCCCACGUCUCUGUUAGCAGCGGGGCGCUGACCGGGUGGAGAGAGAUUGGGGCACCACAGAAACAAGCAUUCAUUGUCAGCCACGGAGACUGGAGCUGGCCCAGAGGCAAGCUAUGUGAGUUCUGGGAGGCAGAAGAGAAGCAGCUGUUAUACUGUGAAGGUUAUCACUGGACCCAGGGCUGCUGCUAAGUGCCAGUUUGUUCUUGCUCUUCCCUCCUUCCUGAUGCUGGCCUUGCCCACCCAAAGUGACCCCAGACUUCCACUGAUGCUUUGCUGACAACUAUGGAGAAUCAACAAGGAAGAAUCAAUAACCAUUCAUAGACUCAUUCCUGCCUCAGCAGCAGGACGUGCUGGCUUCCAGAGCUCCCUGCAAGUUCUAACUCAUCUGUGACUUUACUCAUUCCUUCAACUACAUUUUUUGGAUCUUUAUCUCCCAAGCUCUUCCCACAGUUGUGGCUUCUCUGGAUAGCAGCAAACCUACUGGUCAUCAGCAGACAGAACCAUUUAUUAACCCCAAGUAUUUUCUCCACCACCUCCAUGAUGCACUUCAAGAUGCAAUUCUCUUCUUCCAUCACUACUAAGAGAGCUCAACUACACUUUACACAAAUCACUCAGUCUUUCACCUGCUUAUUUCUUUCUCUUUCAACUUCUUCUCUGGCUUCUUUAGGAGUGGUCGGAGAGAGGAAGAGGUGUAAAAGGAUAGGGCCAUAUCACAGGAAAGUCAAGAAGGGACAGUGUGUCAAGAGCGGAGCAGGGUGCCCCACACAGGAAAAUGAGUCCAGAGAUUUAGGAGGGGAAGAACCAAGAAGCUGUGACCUUGACAACCAGAAAUUCACUAGCGACUGCCCAGGGAGCAGCUUCCUCAGAGUCAGGGGAAUGGAAGCCAGAUGCAAAGCUGGAAAAUGAGGAGAGGGUGGUGAAGCCAUGACAGUGAAUACAGACCUCAUUUGUACACAUCCUAGUUAGCUAAGAUCAGUGACCUUUAAAGCUCUUCAGGAGUGUCUAGAAAUUCUUUUUACUAAUUCUAUGUACUUCUUUAUUCUUCCAUUAAAACCUGCUUUCCUCAAGUACUGACAACAAAAUACAGUUAAAGCUGGUUCUUAUUCAAUUGUGUUUGUUUUUGUUCGUUUUCAUUAAAUUGCUGGCAUUAUAA
Manis pentadactyla (Chinese pangolin) is the source of this 1209-nucleotide long non-coding RNA. RefSeq lists it as uncharacterized. The transcript is spliced from 3 exons. NCBI's taxonomy places the organism in Eukaryota, Metazoa, Chordata, Mammalia, Pholidota, Manidae. The record is from RefSeq and is a predicted model, not a curated record.